Felis catus (domestic cat) is the source of this 8851-nucleotide long non-coding RNA. RefSeq lists it as uncharacterized. The transcript is spliced from 3 exons. NCBI's taxonomy places the organism in Eukaryota, Metazoa, Chordata, Mammalia, Carnivora, Felidae. The record is from RefSeq and is a predicted model, not a curated record.
GGGGGGGGGGGAGGGCGGAUGGUGUGUCCUAAGACACGUUGCCAGAUGUGUCUCAUGGGCUUCCGGAUUGAUGACAAGGGAAGGGCCCUUAGCUGCCUUUGGGGACAUUGUUGUGCUUUAUGUGACAACAUGAUGAGUCUUUCAGAUCAUUUCAUUUGUCUGAGUGUGGGUCUCGUACCCACCCCCCCUCCCGAUUCGUGGUCUUCAGGUUUUGUGGUGUUUGCAGCUUAAAAAUGCAGAAAAAAGGGUGCGGUUGGCUGAGCCUGAGUGGGUCUCAGACAGGACGAUGGCUGUUGGCUGCCUGGGAGCCGCUUUUGGUUUCCACGGUACGGUGUUUGGGGACGGGACUUGUCGCCGACUGUUGUUUACAUCUGGGUCUUGGCCAUUUGCGUGAGGUGUCUCGGUGACCGGCUAUCUCUUAUCUUGAUGUGAAACAAAAGGAAACUGAAAGUAAGGAGAGGGGGGCACGUGUGUGAUUACGACAGCCAGCCGAUGCCUGUCUUUGAGGGCAGUUUUGUCUUUCAUUGAACAUGACUGUGUGUUUCCUAUCAGUUGUUGAAAAUUUGGAAUGGUCUUCUGCAUAUGCUGCCUUGAAAAGGCGGGGGAACCGCCUGAUAAUGCCAACAUGAAAGUGGGGAAACAGAUGGCGUGGUGGGCUCAGGGCUUGUUCACUGACCACCGGGAAUUGUCUUCAGUCAUCACUGAAAGCUGCAUUUUUCUGUAACGUGUUCGUGUUUUUCCUAUCAUUGUAUCCAACCAAUAGCGGUCCGGAAGCUUUUCACGUGUUUUCCAUAAAAAAAAAAAUGUUCUAUUAAUUGCCGUCUUCGAAUGAGAAGGUAGCCUAUUGGGUCGGCUUGGCAGGGCCUUGGUGCUUUAAGUCCCUGAUGGGAAUGAUCUGCUCGGGAUCUUAGUUCUUGUUUCAUGGGAUAGCGUAAUGGCAGUGGGGUGUGUUUUCCCUGUGAUCUUGCAACAUGGCAUCCGUUUGAGUUUGGUUUUUUAUUUUGACUGUGUUUCCUACGCGUUCUCCAAAGGUGAAAGUAUUUUCAGCGUGCACCGUGGAACAAUUUGUCCGGCUGGACACGUGAAAGUUUCACACGCCGAAGGUCUCCUAGCCGCUCUUGUUAGCCAAGACUGAACACUGUUUUGGCAUUUAAUUUUCCAUGUUCGCCUUAAGGCAGCCAAUUGAAUUUUGAUGUUGGCGCUCCUCAUAGAUUUCCUUUAAAGUGCUUGGUGUAAAUUUCAAUUUACAGAGGAGGCAUUCAACGUCUAAUGGGGUGCCUUAUGUUUCCAGUAUAAUGGCGUGUUUGACACAAUUUAUUUUGCUAAAUCCUGGUCUUGUUCGCUAUGGAUAAAUUCUCUUAAAAACAGAGGCUUUCUGGGGAAACUGCCUGGCUCAGUGAUAGAACCUGUGACUCUUGAUGGGGGGGUUGUGGUUGCAGGCCCCACACUGGUGUGGAGAGUGCUUAAAAAUAAAGCCUUCAAAAUGAAUAAUAAUAAACGUUUUGAGGUGAUCUCAAAUCUCAAUUCAAAACAAUCUGGUGAAUGCUUGCCUCUCAUACAGUUGGGGAUUUGGGUGUACAAGAGAAUUGGGACUCCUAUGACUUUGUUCCAUUCAAUGUGGUUCCAGGCCCUUUGCGUAAGCUUUGUGUUAACCAGUUUUGGCGUUAUCGUUAAUUUACAAAUGAGGAAAAGAUUGUUUUAAUUAUGUGUGUGCUUCUUGCUUUAUGACAGUGACUGGCUCCCGGUGGCCCGGGAGCCCAACCUUUCGUCUUAUCUGCUAUUAAAAUGUUUCUGAAAAACCGGCUCUGAGUGUUUUAUUUCAUGGGUCUACUUAAAAUUUUCUUUCCAAUGUAAAAAAUAGCAGGUACUGACCAUCAGGCUGACGGUGCUGUUUCCUGACCACGAAUUCCGGGAAGUGCCUGUCACCGGCCAUCCCGGAAUUCCGUUGGCUUCGUCCUGGGUUUCAUUUCUCAUGAUAAUCACAUGACACUUAUCAACUUUACUCAGGUCAGUUCUGUACUUAGUCUUUAAUGCAUUUGCUUUGAACGUCACGGGGCAUUUUCAAUUUAUUUACAAGCAAAUUCACCCCCAGAAGCAUUGCUCUCUGUGUUCUAGAACUGAAUGGCCCUUGCUGGUCGCAGUGCAUACUUUUGAAUAUUAUAUUAGAACCCUGAUUGUGCACGUGACAUAGUGGUAUUUCUUUUCUUUUCUUUUUUUUCUUGUUAUGUCUUUAAAUGCUGACCCAGGUGUUCCUUCCUCGGUGUUCUCCCAUAGAAAAGAUCACUUUCUGGUAUCGUAUUUGCAAACAGUCUGUCCCCUGACACCUCCAGUCCUCCUUGUUAGGGGUCCUGGGCUAGACUGGAGAUGCCGCUCUCCCUGCACCCUACUGCACCCCAAUCGCAGAGGGUGCUGUCCCUGCCUCUUUAGCCACAAGAGCUGACCGUGCCUUAAUGCCCCAAGGGCUAGCAUAUUGGCUUAGGAAAUAGUCGGUGGCUGCCUGCUUCUCCUCAUACACCUCCCUUCCCGUGUCAGACCUAAUGUGUAUACAAGGGGAGAAUUAACUGAGAGGGAAGCUGUUGUUUUGCUCACGACCCUGAGCGCCCUCAUCCCUGAGUGUCAUCUGAUACUUGGUGUUAAGUACAACAGGGACUUCCUUUUGAUAAUGGUGAUAGCUGGGUUUGCCUUAUUAGCCUUUUUGCUGAUUGAUUCUUGAUAUUGACUUGAAUUUGGUAUCUUAGCUCACGUAGGAACGAUUUAAUGACUCAUAUCGGUGACACGUUGGAGGUCUGUAAAACGUACUUUGAUUACAUUUAGACCUGUGAAAGGUCCACUGCUGGUAUUUGGGUUUGACUGUCGUCGGUACUGACAGGAAAGCAGACUUCGGGAACGGGGACCCUCAACUAGCCUCACCAAUCCUGACUUUUGAGACAGAGUCCUAGAUCUUGAACAAAAUCUAAGUGUGGAAUGAAGGUGCUUUCAUUACUGGCCCAUUGCCUGUAGUAUCCUAGGGGCAUUCUUGCACAUUGAGAGCAGAUUCUCCGAUGUGUAUGUAACCAAAUGUCCAAUUUGUUCCCGUUGUUUCCCCCUCGGAGACCUACGUUCAACGUCAGGUGGUAGGGGCAUUAUGCAAUGUGUGAAAUGCUUCGGGAAUUUGUUGUGAUUAACUUAGCUCAUUUUCCUUUCUAGCAGUUUUGGACCUUACUAUGUUACCGAUUACGAAGUCUAGUAUAGCGGCCCAGCCAUCGUAAGGUGCAUUUCGUGGUCUAUUAAGUAGAACACAAAACCCAUUUGAAUGAUUUGUUAGCCAUCGUCUUGCGUGGUAUGUCAGUGUCAGCCAUUGGUGACAAAGUGAGAACACCACCACCCAUUCCAGAGGUUUGUUACCCGCAAUUGUGUAUGAGUGGACGGUUUCAUUAGUGAAGAGCGACAUGGGAGUUCUGAGACACCCCUUCUCGCCACUGAGUGGUGAUACCUCUUAACAUAAUUUUUAAGAAUUCCCCUGCGCUGGGUGAUGAAGGCGGGAUGCACCAUGGUUCGUGCUGAGGGGACAAUCAGCCAGCCUCUGAAGCCGCAGUCUCACCUUGUGGGUUGACUCAUGCAGUUCCUGCCUUACGUUCUCCUUCACUCUUUUGGCCUACUUCACACAGGCUGCGUGAUUGGGUCCUCUGGCCCCAGCAACCACUUUCAGAAAUUGCUCUGGAUGAGGGAAAGAGGAAGUUUGCCCCAUCCACGCGUGUUGUGAGUUUCCAAGUGACCUGAUUUUCCUGCAGCGGUCCCAAGCUGACCUUCCACAGGUAAGGCUCUUUGUAGAUUUGUACCGUCAUCCCCUCCCUCAGGAUCUGUGAUGGGAACGUCCAGUUCCGGUCAGCCGGUGGGCCCGUAAUGAGAGGAGAGGACCCUGAACCGAGAGUCAAGACCAGCCAUACAGAUGUUGCCGAGACCGUGUCACCCAUCGUGUUUCGUUCACAAUACGUUUCCAGUAUGGGAGUCUGAAAGACCCUCGGCCCUUUCUUCCUGUCAUCUCUGAGCCUCAGCUUCCACAUCUGCAAAAUGGAAAUGACACCUUGCUCUUGCUCUCAGGCGUGGUGUGAAAGUCAAGCGUGAUCGUCUUUAGGAAGUGCUCAGCACACAGGAGGGCCAGCAACUAUUCUCAGAGGGUCUUGGGCAUCUCUUUGGAAAUGGACCUCUCUAACUCUGCUGUGAUGCCAGGAGGUAGCCCAGCAUCCCAGACCCUGCCUUUCUCUGAGCUGCAUUCUUUCCUGGCUGCCUUGGACGUCUGACAUGGAAGCUGAUGUCACUCAGCGUCAAGUUGGGGCUGGAGGGUGCUUGGUAACUGGCAGUGCCCAAAGGUCUCCUGUCUUUCCUUCUCUGUAUAAAGUUACUUCUUUGCUGGGCAGGGGUUAAUUUGGUGAAAAUCAGGUGAAGACGUUGACGGUUGGGUGUGAGAGUGUUAAGCAUAAAGACGAAUGGCUCUAAGGUGCAUUCAAAGACCCUCGGGACCUCUAGAGUCAGACACACCUCUGGUUCCUCUGUUGCUUUGUUCGCACCAGUUUUAUCCAGAAGGUGGCAUCGCAGAGCCUGAUGUGCACUGCCCAAAGUCCAAACGAUCCACAUUUGUUUGUGGUUAGACACUAACGUAUGUAGCCUUUCCACAGCAUGUUGACAUUUCAGAGACUUUUCCUUUAUCCCUAUACUUGGUUCAGUUACUUUCAAGCCGUGGGAGAUGGGGGUCAUUACGACUUCCUACCCAGUGAAAACCUGAGACCUGAGGUACUUAGAAAACUCUGUGCCCCAACACAUGUUCCUUCCCCAGGCGGGAGGUACAAAAGUGAACAAGAAUGGCUUGUUUGCUUGUCAAAAGCAGUUGUACAACUAAACGACUGUGAUGCCUCCUCCUUCUUGCACACACACUGGUGCGCGCCCACUGCCCAUCAAAGUCAUGUUGGGUCAUUUCAUUGGGGGGAGGGAUGGGGAAGACGUAGAUGAAUGUUUUAUGGGUAAGUCUUCUGAGUACUGGCACUUAACAAAAUAAGUCCCAAGGUUGACGCUUCCAAAAGGGUGACUGUUUAACUGGUGGCAUCUCAAACUCAGCACCCUGAGGGAAAGACAAGGUGACCCUCCCAAUUUAAGGUGGGAUCUGGCUUGGUGGCUCUUUCCCAGGAGUCCACUCUGGAGCCCGCCACAUCAGUUGCAUUAUGAGGCCUGUACUCAAUGAAUGUGUACUUCCCAGCGGGGAUGUUAAUGAGUUAUGAAUUCUUGGUGUGACGUAUUUCAUGUCAAACCCUGUUAGCCUGAAGUGGAUUUUCAUUCCUCUUAUGUAUGUCGGUGACAGAAAGGGAAUGGAUAUCGAACACCUGAAGGUAAGGCCUUUGCACCUGUGCUGCCGAAGGAGCACGAGGUAAGGCCUUUGAAAUGGAGUGGAUUCGUUGUCACACCGGUUCCCUGUUAUAGGCGCACGUUUCCACGGAUGAGUAUUAUUUCAUUGGAUACAUGUACCACAUUUCCUUUAUCCAUUUAUACUGUUGAUGGAUGCUCACAAGUCUCUCAUGUCAUACAUGGUGAGAAUAAUACUGUAGUGAGGAUAUGGAAUGAGUAUGUGUCUUUGACAUAGUGGCUUCCUGUCGUUUACAUAAACGCCCAGAUACGGGAUUGAUACAUCAUAUAGGAGCUCAAUUAUUAAUUUUUUGAGAGGACAUCCUACUGUUCUCCUUAGUGCUACCCAGUGUGAGGCUGUCAGGUUGUCAGACUCCCUUUACAAAGAUGCUGAAAGAAUACGUCUACCAUGCAGAGCAAUGGUCAACUAGGAAUCACUGGGAAUCCUCAUGUUGUGUACGGGAAACUGGUUGCAUUGUAUCCACGCGUUUCCAUCAAAACUUCCUGCACUCUUCUGGUGAUCAUACCUUGCCCGUGGCAAGAAGAUGAGCGGCGUGUGGGUGCUGUCAAUGAACCUUGCAUGAAGCAGGGGACGUUUAGAUUCUCACGGACAUGAGCUGAUGAGCUGGAUGUCCGGGAGUCUCCUGGGUCAGGUGUCCAGGGUGGAGGAUUCAUCCUUGGGCCUUUGUUUCUAUACGCCAUUUCGGGCCAUUCAUUUCUCCCCAUUAGUGAAGCCUAGGGUCCAGAAGGGAUACAUGAGUAAACUCUGGGAGUGUAAAGAAACUUGCAAGGGGGUGGGUAGUGUGUCUUAGUGUGAAAGUGUGGUAGGCAUUGUGGGUUCAGGGGCAAUGGCAGCAUCUGGCGACUGGGCAGAUAUUAGUUCCCCGGGAAGAAAUGGGUCAUGUCUGGUUCUCAGGCUUCCAAUACAAAGAAGCUAAAAGAGUUUGUCUAUCAUACAGAGCAAUGGCCUCCUAGGAAUCGUUAGCAAUCCUCAUUUUGUGUACGGGAAUGUGGUUGGAAUUGUAUCCACGCGUUUCCAUCCAAGCUUUCUGCACUCUUCUGCUGACCAUACUCUGCACAUGGCGGGAAGAGGAGCGGCGUGUGGGUGCUGUCAAUGAACCUUCCAUGAGGCAGGGGACGUUUAGAUUCUCACGGACAUGAGCUGAUGCGCUGGAUGUCCGGGAGUCUCCUGGGUCAGGUGUCCAGGGUGGAGGAUUCAUCCUUGGGCCUUUGUUUCUAUACGCCAUUUCGGGCCAUUCAUUUCUCCCAAUUAGUGAAACCUAGGGUCCAGAAGGGAUAUAUGAGUAAACUCUGGGAGUGUAAAGAGACUUGCAAGGCGGUGGGUAGUGUGUCUUAGUGUGAAAGUGUGGUAGGCAUUGUGGGUUCAGGGGCAAUGGCAGCAUCUGGCAACUGGGCAGAUAUUAGUUCCCCGGGAAGAAAUGGGUCAUGUCUGGUUCUCAGGCUUCCAAUACAAAGAAGCUAAAAGAGUUUGUCUAUCAUACAGAGCAAUGGCCUCCUAGGAAUCGUUACGAAUCCUCAUUUUGUGGAUGGCAAUGUGGUUGGAAUUGUAUCCACGCAUUUCCAUCUAAGCUUUCUGCACUCUUCUGCUGACCAUACUCUGCACAUGGCGGCAAGAGGAGCGGCGUGUGGGUGCUGUCAAUGAAGCUUCCAUGAGGCAGGGGACCUUUAGAAUAUCAAGGACAUUUGCUAAUGUGCCUUUGUGGUUAUCAGCCUCCAUUUUCAGGCUCUUGAUUUCACUUGAUUAGUGAAAUCUGGGGCCCACAAAGGCUCUGAGGACACCCUGGGAAGAGAAGGAAUCUUGACCUUGGGUGGGCCGAGGGACUUGGAGUGAAAGUUGUGGUAGGCAUUGUGGGUUCAGGGGUGUGUCCCCUGCCUUUGUCCCUUCUCACGCACUACCCUGGGGUCAGCAUAACUGGGGGCGAGAAGACAAUGGACAUUGGUGGAUGUGAUAUGAGACGCUAUGCCUGUCUUGUUGAGUUGACACGUUCAUUAGGAGAACAGGGUGUUGUUUUCCACGUUCCCCGUGGAGUGUGGGUUUGCCAGCAGGCACGGCUCUGCUGUUUCAUCCUUACUCUGUGGUACCAUGGGCCUGUGAGGGAAGGAAGGCCACGGGGUAGGGUGGGUCGUCCUUCCCCCUGCUGUCUUGUUGCAGGUGACAAUCACCUGAGGCCCUUCUGAGAAGGAGCUGCCGUUGCUUAUGCCUCUUUGAUCCUCCAGGGACAUUUUCUUCCCUUGUCCCGGAUGUGUGUUGGCUCUUGGGCACUGCUUGUGGUGUUUGCUUCCCCCUCCAUGUGUCAGGAGGCUGGGUUUUAAAACUGGCAAGAGGCUUGUUUAGCUUUUCAAAAGGUUUGCGAAGAGGCAGAGAGCGCACAAUGACAAGUUUUCCAAAGUCCGUGUUCCCAGAGAAGGGAAGGGGGAGGUCGUGUCCCCCUUUGCAAUGGGGAUAGUUUAGCUCUUGUUUUGUAUUUUCUUUGCCCUGAUGCCAUGCUCCCAUGAGAGACCAGGCCCCAUUGGUACCUGCACCCCUUGGGACCUGCACCCUUGGUACCUGCACCUGCGUGGGUGCAGUCAGUGAACCUUCCAUGAGGCAGGGGACGUUUCGAUUCUCAUGGACAUGUGCAGAUGUUUCUGGAUGUCCGGGAACCUCCUGGGUCAGGUGUCCAGGUUAGAGGAUUAAUCCUUCCUAUUUUGUUUCCUUGUGAUGUUUCAGGCUCUUGAUUUCUCUUGAUUAAUGAAACCUGGGGUCUAGAAGGGAUAUGAGUAUUUACUGAAACUUGACAGCGGGGGUCGAGGGUCUUAAUGUGAACGUGUGGUAGGCAUUGUGGGUUCAGGGGAAAUGGCAGCAUCUGGGGCAUGACAGAUAUUAGAUCCCAGGGAAGAAAUGGGUCAUGUCUGGUUCUCAGGCUUCCAAUACAAAGAAGCUAAAAGAGUUUGUCUAUCAUACAGAGCAAUGGCCUCCUAGGAAUCGUUAGGAAUCCUCAUUUUGUGUAUUGGAAAGUGGUUGGAAUUGUAUCCAAGCCUUUCCAUCUAAGCUUUCUGCACUCUUCUGCUGACCAUACUCUGAACAUGGCGGGAAGACGCGCGGCGUGUGGGUGCUGUCAAUGAACCUUCCAUGAGGCAGGGGACGUUUAGAUUCUCACGGACAUGAGCUGAUGAGCUGGAUGUCCGGGAGUCUCCUGGGUCAGGUGUCCAGGGUGGAGGAUUCAUCGUUGGGCCUUUGUUUCUAUACGUCAUUUCGGGCCAUUCAUUUCUCCCAAUUAGUGAAACCUAGGGUCCAGAAGGGAUAUAUGAGUAAACUCUGGGAGUGUAAAGAAACUUGCAAGGGGUGGGUAGAGUGUCCUAGUGUGAAAGUGUGGUAGGCAUUGUGGGUUCAGGGGAAAUGGCAGCAUCUGGGGCAUGACAGAUAUUAGUUCCCAGGGAAGAAAUGGGUCAUGUCUGGUUCUCAGGCUUCCAAUAC